CCUACGGGAUGCAGCAGUGGGGGAUAUUGGACAAUGGGGGAAACCCUGAUGCAGCGACGCCGCGUGUGGGAAGACGGUCCUCUGGAUUGUAAACCACUGUCCCCAGGGACGAAUAAGACGGUACCUGGGGAGGAAGCUCCGGCUAACUACGUGCAAGCAGCCGCGGUAAAACGUAGGGAGCGAGCGUUGUCCGGAAUUACUGGGGGUAAAGGGAGCGUAGGCGGGACAGAAAGUUGGGUGUCAAAUCUACCGGCGAAACCGGUAGCCGCACUUGAAACUGCAGCUCUUGAGUGAAGUAGAGGCAGGCGGAAUUCCUAGUGUAGCGGUGAAAUGCGUAGAUAUUAGGGGGAACACCAGUGGCGAAGGCGGCCUGCUGGGCUUUUACUGACGCUGAGGCUCGAAAGUGUGGGGAGCAAACAGGAUUAGAUACCCUGGUAGUC
RNAcentral lists this ribosomal RNA (440 nucleotides) under uncultured bacterium. RNAcentral's name for it is "partial 16S ribosomal RNA". It matches the Rfam family "Bacterial small subunit ribosomal RNA", at positions 338 to 795 of the family's 1533-position model. The record is from RNAcentral.